Panonychus citri (citrus red mite) is the source of this 534-nucleotide long non-coding RNA. RefSeq lists it as uncharacterized. The transcript has 2 exons. Lineage: Eukaryota; Metazoa; Arthropoda; Arachnida; Trombidiformes; Tetranychidae. The record is from RefSeq and is a predicted model, not a curated record.
AUUUUUGUUUUUUUGGUUAACAUCUACCUUCUUAACUCUGUGAUUAAUUAAUUACAACUAAUUAAGAAAAAAGCAGUCAAUAUGCAUCAGUUUAAUUUCAAGUACAACUUUUUCCUGUGCAUCGAGUGAUAUAUAUAACAAUUUACAUCAAAAUGUCUACCUUAUCACCUAACCCAAAAUGUGAAAAGUGAUCGACCCGGCAAAUCUAUGAAAGAACACAAAAAAAGGAAACAAACAAACAAAAACUAAAAAAAAAAAAAAAAAGGAUUGUCACCAUUAGAUGCAUCCAACAAAAUGAAGGACAAGCCAAGCCAAUGAAAACACCGAAUUAUUCAAUCACUGAUUUAAAUGAACCUUCUUACACCUAAUAAAAAUUCAUGAGAUACUAACAAGAAAAGCAUGAAAACUAACACGAAACUUGUAAACUGAACGUCUAGUUCGGUACCAUGUACAUGGUUAAAUGCCUAAUGCAUUUGUCAAUUACGACGAUAAUAAAUUUUGAUCGUUAACUUUUUUAAUUUUCACAAUUGAAAA